Molecule: long non-coding RNA, 1304 nt
Organism: Halichondria panicea
Lineage: Eukaryota; Metazoa; Porifera; Demospongiae; Suberitida; Halichondriidae
Exons: 5
Source: RefSeq, a predicted model, not a curated record
ACCACAGUGACAUAACCAGGACCAUGGAGAGAGACCAUUGCUGAGGAGGUGGGAAUGGCAAGUUCCUGGCCAAUCAGAUGAUCCUACAUGACGAAGCUGCUCGUAAAGAUGCAAGUCUGAUGACAAACUCAGGAUGAUGAGGCCAUGUUCAAGCUGAACCCCAAUGCAAAGACGUCAAGUUCAACCUGAAUGCCUAGGAGUUCAAACCUCCGAGAGCAAGCUUCUCUCCAGUGGUCACUGCCUCCUCCACACCUCUCCGACAAGGCGACUGUCGAGUCCUCAGCCUCUGCCCUACAGGAGCAAUAUAAUUCCGUUUCUGCGUGUGUCACCAAACUGGAGGUAAAAGUGUACGUAAGGACUUUGAGAAGGAGCGGAAAAAUGAGUACAAAGAGAAGUACCUCUCGCUAUUAGGAUGAGUGCUGACUCGGCUCUGUUUAAGUCCAAGAGCAAGAAAUCAAAGUGGCUCGACUAGUGAGUUGUGUCACGUCAGUUAGUGUGUAGAGUUGUAGUGAAGCUUUUCUUAUUCUAGUCACUCUAUAGAGAUUAUUAUAGAAUACAGUCAGGUUAAUUAAUGGACUCCAUAGCGGACCUAUGCCACCUCUAGAGUACAGCUAUACUAUAUCUUGAAGGUUAUAAUCUAGUGCAAUAAGAUACUAUUAGUGUUAUGAUUCUACUAAAACUCGUUCUCAAAAGUUUCAGCCUAUAGUCUAGUUUUAUUUUGUUGCUCCCGUUACUUGCUGCUUAGCUAGAUCUAUAACACUCCUCUGGUUUCUAUAGAUCUUUAUUAUUUAUGUCAACAGCCGAGGGUAGCACUUCAGUACUCUAGUUCUAAUUGUAGAUUGACUGAUCGAUUUGUCUUCUGUACUAUUGUUUGAUUUUUCCACCCCUCAUUUUUUUCCGGCCCCCAGUUAUGCGGCCAUUUUUCAGCCCGGCCAAGUGUUGAGGAGACAAGAAGAGGCACUGAGAAUGGAGGUAGAGGCCUACUAUGCUGCUAAGAAAAAGAGGGGCCUCACGUAAACUGGCCACUCGUGCAACUAUGACCAUGUGACUCUUUAACCCCUCAGUUCCCGAGCCUGACCCCUCAAUGUCUGUCUCGGAAGAGGAGAUAGACUUUGGAUUCUGGGAGAAGGCGUCCACCCUACCCUCGGACAAGACCCCAACCGAUGACCUGAACUUGUUAUGAGACUGUUAAAUAUUAUUUUGUCUGCUUUUAUACUAUAUUCUGGCAAUGUAAUUAUGUAUGUACCACUUUAUGUCAUCAUAAUAACUAUAAUUAUAUGCGAUAAAAUUCUGUUGCAACUUAA